UGAUUAUAGUGGGAGACACACUUUGCGACAAAGGCGGACGGACGUUAUAGAGAAGAAGAAGAGAAUUGUGAGAGAAAUGCAAGGAAAAGAAAAAAUUGUUGGCGUUUGACAUUUAUCAAUUUUUGGAAUUGUCAUGGAAUUCAUUUGGAUUUAAUAAUUUUUUUUUUGUUCUUCUUUAUCUUUUUUUUCUUAACUUCCUCCUACUGGUUCGUCUUUCUUUCUCUCUCCUCCUCAUCCCUGGGUAUUGUUUACUGCCAUUACAUGCUUCGUUGUGCGCAGAUUUUAUUACACUUUCAACGAGUAAUUGAAUAGGAAACAAAUAAGAACUUCAUUUUUUUAUAGGUAUACAAAGAAAUGUGGAUGGAAUUAGAAGAAAAAUGCUUUGCUUAGUAAACACUCCUCAUAGCAUCUCUCCAAUACCUUCUUUCAGCAUUACCAAAAUUUCUCCUUCUUUUCAUUCUUAAAACCCGGUAAAUACAUUUAAGAAAGUCGCUAUAUCUCAAUCAUCCCGAGUCAGGUGCUGCAAAGUCCUAGACGUUUGUGUGUCUAGAAAGCUCAUAGUCCAAAGAUGCACUUGCAUGUCCAAAGGUACACAUAAACACCUGUUCAUUCACAUUAUGUCUCUUGAAAACCUCCCUCCCCCUUUUUAGUUACUGUAAUCUUCUUCGCUCCGACACUCUUGCAGUACAAGUGAAAUUGUUUAUCACAAAAAAAAAACGUUCGCACGCCCCCUAUGAUUUUUCUUGCUCUCUAUUGCAAUACAAAUCCUGAAAGAGUCAAACGAUUUUAAUUAUUGAAGUGUGCUAUUAUACCAAUUUUUAAGUGCGAUGCCUCACGUCCUUUGUCCUUUCGACCUUUUUUUCGCUUCUCAUUACCUUAAAAAUAACCCCACGUUGCACCAACACUCGGUUCGGCUUUAAAAACUGCGGCUACCUGAUAUCAUGCUCCAACCAAAAUUCUCCCUCCAAAAUUAAGCAUCGCGUAAUUCUCGUUUGACCUUAUAAGCCUCGCCUCUUCUAUUGUAAUUUCUGAACCGAAGAAUGCCCCACACCUUGUAGUGCGCUACCGUUAUCGUCGGUAUGAAUGAUAAGACAAGUUAUGUGGCUACCUUCGUAACUGCCGUAGUGUGUCAUCAACGGUACUCGAAAAGUCAUUAAAUAUGUGAAACGAUUGAUUAGAAGCAGUCGAAGAGCUCUUUCAUUCAUAGUUAUGAAAUUCUUUUUUCUUUCGUUGCCCUUGGCGUAAUGUUGUCUUCUCCUUUAGGGUUUUCAAUUUUAUCGUACUACGCACUGGCUCACUGUUUUCAAACUAGUUGAGUGUACUGAGUUAUAGAAAUCUAUACUCGAAAGAAGAGAUUGCAAUCGAUGAGGAUUUUCUUUUUCCUGAAAGAUAGAGGAUUGUGCUUUGAUUACUUUUAAUUUCUACUUACUAGCCGUUCUCUUUUGAUCUGAGGUGAUGUUCUCAAAGUCUUGAGAGCACACAAAGGCAAACGUUGCAAAUUUCGCUUUUUCUCGAAUAUCGUGAAUCGUUUCGCUCAAUCUGUUCAAUCAAUUACAAAAAAUAUUUUUGAAUAGGUAUAUUUUUGAUUUCGCCUAAGCCUUUACUUUUUGGUUCUUGUUUGAUCUCCCAGAUAUCUGAUAACCAUAAUGGCUUAACGAAUUUCAUAUGCUAAUCACUGACCGUUAUGAAUACAAUUUCCUUGGUUUUAAAAGACUUCAAAAUCCUCACUACUGUCACUGCCGCUGGCCCUAAAACAUGUUUAUGACUUAAAAGACACAUACAUUUUGUAUUCUAAGGUCGUCCAACGCAAAAUUUCAUAAAUGCCCUACAGACUUUAUAAUGUUGCAUAGUCAUUGUACAGAUCGAAAUUGGCAUACUCAUGAUUAGUUAUGUAGAAUUUCUUUAUUUCCUCAUAUCGUCAUUGAUGACUGUGGUAAAUGAAACCACCCAAAACAUAAAUCUUCUAUCCAAACAAAAGAACUCUAAAAGUCUGCAAAGUUGCAGGAAACAAUAAGCUAGUUACGUGCCAGCCAAAUCUUUAUAGGAAACCAUAAAACGUGAGCUGGUUUUACUUUUUUUAAAGGUCAUAGUUUCUAAUCGUGUAUUUCGAAAAAAUGUGAAGAAUAAAGGAAAAGAAUCGAUGAAUUGCGUCUAACUUCUCAUCUGGGAAAAGAAGUUGUAAGUAAAAGUACAGGAUCGCCAAAACAAAAGGGAACAUAAGAGACAAUCGAAGUAUGACUCCGGCAUCCUCAAGUUUGACAGCGCUCAAAUUUUUGAAUUUUCCUACAAACUGAAGACAAAGCAAGCCAUCAGCAGAAACACUAACUAGUGCUUCAGAAUCAGGGGAUAACUGCAUAUCAGUUACUGGAAGGCUAUGCUUAUAAACUUGAGACAAUUUCUAGCAUGCAUAUUAGAAGGCAAAAUCGCAAUAAAAAUAUUUAAGUAAACACAUACCGUUAAGUCUAAAGACAUGAAACGAAUGCUGCAAUCUGCUCCAGCAACUAUGAUCAUUCCAUUCUCCUUAUCACAGCAAAAGCAGGUGACGCCCUUUGCAUUUUUUAAAUCUCGGAUCAUGCCAAAUCUCCAAAGUUGAUUCUUUGAACUGUAAUCAAAUCGAACCAAUGAAGCAAACCUUUUGGAAUCUUUAAUAUAGUUAUAAGCAGCUACUAUGGAUUGGUUGGGUAAAAACGAAACACCUCGUACUGUGGCUCGCUCUACCGGCAUGUAAAGUACUUGCACCAAUUCAAAAGUGUUCCAAUCAUAAAUUUCGACGCGAUCAUCAACUGCAAUUGCAAGCUACAAAAGAAUGGUAAGGAUUUAAUAAAUAAAAUUUAGUAAAGGCUGUGGCUUACCUUGUCUUCAGUAGAUGAAACGUCAUACACAUCUGAACCAUGUUUUUCAAACAAAACUUUGUGAUCAUUUUUGGAGAUGAUAAAAAAACUUUUAUUAGUGCAAGAUAUACAAAUUGCAUCGUGUAAUGGCUCAAAUAAACAUAACCUUUGAUAUUGUUCAUCAUUGUCAAAAUCGGUUAACCUGAGAGCGUUCUUUUCCUCAAAUAGUUUAUCCUUUCUUCCAUAUAAACGUAAAUGGUCAAUUAACUUUCCGUCAAUGGUGUUAUUAAUACCGGCUAUUAAUUCCUACAAUUUAAUUUCGUUAGCUAUGCAAUAAAAAAAUAUUGCAUACAUUUUUAAAAUAACCCAACGACAUAACGGCAUCAUCCGAAUGCUUAAGUUCGAUUUCUCCAUGUUCUAUAAAUUUUGUAUGACCUUCACCAACUUCAGGUUCAUAGUCUUCAUAUGAUAAUAACUUCUAAAUUCGACAAACUAAUUAGCGCCUAUAGUCC
Molecule: non-coding RNA, 3343 nt
Organism: Schizosaccharomyces pombe (fission yeast)
Lineage: Eukaryota; Fungi; Ascomycota; Schizosaccharomycetes; Schizosaccharomycetales; Schizosaccharomycetaceae
Source: the annotation of a GenBank genome assembly